Molecule: small RNA, 29 nt
Filed under: Bombyx mori (domestic silkworm)
Lineage: Eukaryota; Metazoa; Arthropoda; Insecta; Lepidoptera; Bombycidae
Description: ovarian small RNA-12882
Source: RNAcentral
CACAACGUUAAUACGAUAAAUGAGUCUGC